Molecule: long non-coding RNA, 5566 nt
Filed under: Homo sapiens (human)
Lineage: Eukaryota; Metazoa; Chordata; Mammalia; Primates; Hominidae
Description: HSALNT0371107
Source: RNAcentral
UGUCCUUCCUUUGAGCAGCCACUGAGAGGGAGAAGGAGUUGCAGAGAUCAGGAAGGAGAGGAUUUAUUUCCAGUUUUCUGGCAGUUUUUCCUCACUCUUUCGGAGACCUAGGAUGGGUUAGGAGAGGGCAUGGCAAAGGCAGAGGUGGCUCUGCUAGAGGAGGCCGCAGGUCCGCAGGCCGAACCUGGGGAGCCAGCCAUGUCUGGCCUGAGGCCCUGCUUUGAGGAGAAGAUAAAGCCUUGAGGAGCCUUUUGGGCCGAUCUGGGAACCCAGCAAGACUAGAUUAGCCUGACUGAUGACAGACCUGGGAUGAGGAUGAGGGCAGUUAAGUAUUUGUUUAAUCUUGCUUUGUCUUUUCAAACAGCGAUUUAGUAAUCCUGUUUGAGGCUGCAGUGUGGCAAUGCUUUCCAGAGGAUGGAGUCCUUUUUGUUUGUUUUGAAAAAAUAGAGAUAAGGUUUCACUAUGUUGCCUAGGCUGGUCUCAUACUCGGCCUCAAGCCAUCCUCCUGCCUGGGCCUCCCAAAGUGUUGGGAUUACAGGCGUGAGCCAUGGUGCCAGACUGGAGUCCUUUUAUUAAAAUUAACUGCCCUGCUCAGCUUUCUGCUGGGCCACCCCAGAGCCAAUCCUUGGUUCUUGGGCCCAAGGCUGGACCCAGGGGUUGCAGGAAACAGUCUGUAGCAUCCAAGUGGGGCCUGUCGUACCCACUCCAGUGUGUAGGUGCAGAACGCUCUUUGGGGGAUUUCUCUGCUGGGCCACCUUACUCCAGGGAUCCCUCAGUUUUCAAAACAAAGCAAGAGGGCAAGGAAGAAUGGAGAAACAGCUCAGUGUUGACUCUCUUCCCCCUGGUGAGUGCUGUGCUGGGGCCUCUGUGCACAUCAUACCACUUCCCCCUUGAAUCAGCCCCACAAGGCAGGGUGAGAGAUGAGGACUCAGGGUGCAAGGAGGUCUCACAGCUUGGAAAUGGAUCAGGACAGCUCUGAUUCUCCAAGGCCAAGGUCUUCUCUAUAUCAUGAGGCAGCCCAAAAAUGUGUUUCUACACAUAUUCUGUGUAGAAACUCAGGCCAGGCUCCUAUAUGCUCUGGGUGACAGCGGGAAGGUGCUUUCCAGUGUGUAUCAGUGUGGCCCAUCUGGGAGUCAUAAUGUCAUUGCCUCUUCCAAAAUAUCAGCAAAGCUGACCCUAGUGCUUGUAGUGCUCAAAUGCACCUCUCUGCCUUUGUGCCAUAGGGAAAUGGAUUUGGUCCUGGGGGUGGUGAUACCAACUUCUGUCUCAAUUCCAUGACCCUCACUCAGCACCCCCACCCCAGGCCUGUGCAGAGGAGGAAUAACCGUCCUUGAGAACCAUCCAGCCCUAGGUGGAGAAAUUAGAUUUAUGGACUUAAUCAGUUCUUCUUCCCUGUCAGUGGUGGUGAGAAUGAAAUGGGGGAAAUUGAUAAGCCUCAGUCAUGUUUUCCUGCGAGACAAGGCAGCUUUGGUAGCUGGUGGGACUGACGCCUUCUUCACCUGUGUCCUCUGCCUCUGAGUGACUAUAAAUUGCGAACCCCAUGAGGUGGCACCUGCAGCCACAGAUCGCUUAGGCACCUUGCACAGGGGGCCACCUAAUGAACUGGCUGCAGGACGGCAAUCCUGCUGUGAAGCCAGGCACCUCGGGAGGGGCAAGGUGGCAGAACCGAGAGAGCAGAUGCUCCUUGCUGUUUCUGUAAGGCCACCAGUGGCUGGGUGGCCUGGCCCUGGUAGCAAGGUGGUAACCGUGUGAGUGGCUGAAUCCUGCACCACUUUUCCUGAGCCUCCUUCCUCCUGGAUUCCUGCAACUAUAUUCUCACUACAUGGCUCACCACCAAUUCGUUCUCUCUGCCCCAAGGAGGCUGGACAAGAGGCUCAGGUCAGUGCGGGUACGCAGGAACCUAUGUCUGUAAAAUGAAAAUGCCUGCCUUCAAGGGCUGUCUUGAGGUUGAAAGGAGAUGGUCUACAUCAAGGGUUAGGAAGACCACAAUGUGGCUGUGCCGGCCACCUCCAGGCUGGCUUCAGUCUCCCAUCCCCAUAGUCAUACCCCUGUGAAGUCCCUUCCCAUACUGAAUCGGGCUACCUGUGUAUCUUAUAGGGUGUUGGAAAUGACAGAUUGUGAAUUCCAAGGCCCCAUAAAAGACAGCGUGGGCUGGGCGUGGUGGCUCACGCCUGUAAUCCCAGCACUUUGGGAGGCCGAGCCAAGUGGAUCACUUGAGGUCAGGAGUUCUAGACCAGCCUGGCCAGCAUGGUGAAAACCUAUCUCUACUAAAAAUACAAAAAAAAAAAAAAAUUUAGCCAGGUGUGUUGGCACCUGUGCCUGUAGUCCCAGAUACUUGGGAGGCUGAGCCAGGAGAAUCACUUGAACCUGAGAGGUGGAGGUUUCAGUGAGCCGAGAUUGUGCCACUGCACUCCAGCUGGGUGGCAGAGACUCUGUCUCUAAACAAAGAAAAUGUGGUUUCUGCUGUCCUUUCUCUUGGAUCACUUUCUCUGGGAAACCAGCCACCAUCUUGUGAGGACACUCAAGCUCUCUGGAAAGGUUCAGAAAUGUGGUGAGGAAGUGAGACAGACCUCUUGCCAAAAACCAUGUACUAACUUAUCAGUCACGUACAUGAGUUGACUUAGAAAUGACUCUAUCAGCCUCAGCCAAACCUUCAGAUGACUGCAGCCCUGGUCAACAUCUUGACUGUGACCCCAUGGAAGACCCUGAAACACUCAGCCAAGCCACUCUCAGCUUCCUGAUCCACAGAAGCAGCAUGAAAUAAUAAAUUUUUCUUGUUUUAAACUAAGUUUUGGGUUAAUUUGUUAUACAGCUGUAGAUAACUCCAAGAAUAAUACUCCAUAAAUGUUGAUUUCCUUUCUGCGGCUCCACUGAGUCAUCUUUGUUCAUGGGCAAAGCUCACUGUCUCUCUACUGGCUGCAAAAGAUGUCCAUUUGUUGGCUCUGACUCAUGCUUGUGGUCUUGUUGGCUCACAGCAAGGCCUUUUCACAGAGGAUGGUGGUUUGUCACACUCAGAAUCCAGGUCUUACCUGCUUUCCUGCUCCAUGGAAUUUUGACCUGAGUUUGAAGGCUGAUAGGGGAUUGAUGGAUGAGGGAGAAAGACACAGUCAGUUCUUAGAGCAGUAGCUAAUCCAGGGGUUUCUCUGGCUUUGUUUGCAUGAGUAGUGAUAGUUGGGGAUGAAGCAUGGGUAUUCGAGAUCUUUUUUGUGUGAGUAUGGGAGGAAAAAUUCUGUUCUCUUCCUCCUCCAUCUUUAUUCAUCUUUGUCUUCCCUCGGAUCAGCUUUAAAGACCCCUGAGACUCUAGGACUUGGUUUGCUUUUUUCUCACCACUGGGAUCCAUCUCCCACUAGUAGGAAGAAGGAUCUAAGUAGUUGAGCUGCAUAAAGGGGAAGUAAACAGCCAGACAAAUGUUACAUUUUAGAGCCUUGAGUGACCCAGAGCUUUCUAUCAGCUUCAUUGGGUGCAGGGAGGGUAGCGAUUUCUGGCUGCUGUCACCUCCUUGCUCAUAUCAGGAAGCGCUAAUUUUGAGGCAAAGUUCAGUGCCCUCUGGCUCACCUAGGGCCCCUGUUGCCUAAUUUCACGAGGCCAAGAGUUUGAGGGUGGGUUCGGGGCUGCGCAGCCUGGAUGCCUUGGUUUGCAUGCCUACAGCAGCUGUGCCCGAAAGCUUUUUUUAGAGUAAAUAUGUAGCUUUUGCUAGGCUUUUUGUGUGCCUUGUUCAUUCCUCUAUCAUUUUUUGUAUACCUGCUAUGGUGUCAGGCACUGGGGAUACAAAUUAGCCGGGGACUCGGACAUGUAAGCAAGUAAGCCCAACAGCAGCUAACAUUUAUGCAGUGCUCACUGUGUGCUUGGAUGUCCAGAGUGAUAGAGCAGGUUUAGUAAGGGGGACAGAGGGCUGAGACCAGAGGCAAGGUGGAGAAGGGCAUUUCUGGAGGCAGCAACAUGAGUGCAAAGGAGACAUACACAAGGUUCCCUGGGGGAUUCCAAGUUGUUGCUGUCGUGGCUUCAAAUCUUACUUUAGGGCCUACUCAGAUGGCAUCUUGUUCAUGAAGAUGUGCCUGUUUUUUGUUUUAUUUGUCCCUCUCCCCCCAACAAAGAGUAAACUUUUUUUCUGAACUUCUCGAAAGUUUGCUAACAUCAGCUAUAAAACUCUCUGGGCCUGGGGAUAUUUUGCGGGGAGCAGGGAAGAUCUUUGAUUAUCAUUUUAACUUAUUUCUGUUCAUUUAUUCAAGCUUUUUCUUCUUUCACCAAUUCUCAAAAGCCCCACACCACCCUCCUGCCACCCCCACACCCCUCCACUUCCAGUCGCUACCUUCCACCCAUCAUUCUCACUUCUAAAGCCAUCAACAGAGGUUUUGAACACCACUCAUGUGCCAGGUGUUGUUCUAAGCACAGAUUCAUCAGUGAGCCAAAUGAAAUUCCUUCCUAAAAUAUGCUCUUUGGUGGUGCUAAAUGCCAGGAAGAAAAGUAAGCAAGGGGAGGGAAGAGAGAGGUGUGGGGUGGCGGGGGGCGGGAGCUUGGAUAGGAUGGUCAGAAAGGACCUCUUUGUAGAAACUUAAAUAAAUUUAGAAAGCAAGUCAUGUAAUAUCUGGGAAAGAGGAAAUAGCAGGUGCAAAGACCCUGAGGUUGAAGUGUCCUGGCAAGUUUGAGGCAAGCAAGGAAGGCAGGGUGGUUGGAACAGAACAAGAGAAGAAACGUGGUAGGAAAUGAUGGAGAGUCAGGGGCACGACCUUGGAGGACUUGCAGGUCAUGGUAAAGACGCUGGACUCGACACGAAGUGUGAACAGAGUUCUUGGAGGAUUCUGAGGUAGAGAGUAGCAUAAUCUCAUUUGUGUUUUUAUUUUAACAUGCUCACUUGGGCCACCUUGUAGAGGCUGGAGUGAAAAGGAGGGAGACUAGUUAGAAAUUCUGUAUUGCUGGCUGGGCGUGGUAGCUCCCGGCACUGUGGGAGGCCAAGGCCAGAGGAUUGCUUGAGUCUAGCAGUUUGAGCCCAGCCUAGGCAACAUAGCGAGACCCUGUCUCUGCAAAAAAUUUUAAAAUUGCCCAGGGAUGGUGGUGCACACUUGUAAUCCCAACUACUUGGGAGGCUGAGGUGGGAGGAUUGCCUGAGCCCAGGAGUUUGAGGCUCCAGUGAGCUGUGAUUGUGCCAUUGCACUCCAGCCUGGGUGACAGAGCGAGACCCUGUCUCUAAAAAAAAAAGAAAAAAAAGAAAUUCUGUAUUGCAGCAGCCUAAGAGAGUCAUUAGUUAAGAGAUUUGUAGUAGGCAUUUUUUAGAAAGUUGCAUUGAGGGCUAGGUACGGUGGCUCAUGCCUAUAAUCCCAGCACUUUGGGAGGCCAAGGUGGGUAGAUCAUUUGAGGUCAGGAGCCUGGCCAACAUAGCGAAACCCCGUCUCUACUAAAAAAAUUAGCCGGGCGGUAGUGGCAUGCGCCUGUAAUCCCAGCUACUCGGGAGGCUGAGGCAGGAGAAUUGCUUGAGCCUGGGAGGUGGAGGUUGCCAGUGAGUCGAGAUCGCGCCACUGCACUCCAGCAGUCUGGGCGACAGAGUGAGACGCUGUUUCAAAAAAAAAAA